Molecule: ribosomal RNA, 250 nt
Filed under: uncultured bacterium
Lineage: Bacteria
Description: partial 16S ribosomal RNA
Rfam family: Bacterial small subunit ribosomal RNA
Source: RNAcentral
UACGAAGGGUGCGAGCGUUGUUCGGAAUUAUUGGGCGUAAAGGGUUCGUAGGCGGGAAGAUAAGUCAAGUGUGAAAUCCCUGAGCUUAACUCAGAACGUGCAUUUGAAACUGUUUUUCUUGAGUGUUGGAGAGGGUCGUGGAAUUGCUGGUGUAGGAGUGGAAUCCGUAGAUAUCAGCAGGAACACCAGAGGCGAAGGCGGCGACCUGGCCAUACACUGACGCCGAGGAACGAAAGCGCGGGGAGCAAAC